CUCUUAGCAAUUGACGUUACCCGCAGAAGAAGCACCGGCUAACUCCGUGCCAGCAGCCGCGGUAAUACGGAGGGUGCAAGCGUUAAUCGGAAUUACUGGGCGUAAAGCGCACGCAGGCGGUCAAUUAAGUCAGAUGUGAAAGCCCCGAGCUUAACUUGGGAAUUGCAUCUGAAACUGGUUGGCUAGAGUCUUGUAGAGGGGGGUAGAAUUCCACGUGUAGCGGUG
This 225-nucleotide ribosomal RNA is filed under the name Proteus vulgaris. RNAcentral's name for it is "partial 16S ribosomal RNA". It matches the Rfam family "Bacterial small subunit ribosomal RNA", at positions 459 to 683 of the family's 1533-position model. Lineage: Bacteria; Pseudomonadati; Pseudomonadota; Gammaproteobacteria; Enterobacterales; Morganellaceae. The record is from RNAcentral.